This 450-nucleotide ribosomal RNA is filed under the name uncultured bacterium. RNAcentral describes it as "partial 16S ribosomal RNA". It matches the Rfam family "Bacterial small subunit ribosomal RNA", at positions 354 to 796 of the family's 1533-position model. The record is from RNAcentral.
GUGGGGAAUUUUGGACAAUGGGCGCAAGCCUGAUCCAGCAAUGCCGCGUGCAGGAAGAAGGCCUUCGGGUUGUAAACUGCUUUUGUACGGAACGAAACGGUCCGGGUUAAUACCCUGGGCUAAUGACGGUACCGUAAGAAUAAGCACCGGCUAACUACGUGCCAGCAGCCGCGGUAAUACGUAGGGUGCAAGCGUUAAUCGGAAUUACUGGGCGUAAAGCGUGCGCAGGCGGUGCUGUAAGACAGGCGUGAAAUCCCCGGGCUCAACCUGGGAAUUGCGCUUGUGACUGCAGUGCUGGAGUGCGGCAGAGGGGGAUGGAAUUCCGCGUGUAGCAGUGAAAUGCGUAGAUAUGCGGAGGAACACCGAUGGCGAAGGCAAUCCCCUGGGCCUGCACUGACGCUCAUGCACGAAAGCGUGGGGAGCAAACAGGAUUAGAAACCCGUGUAGUCC